This 1718-nucleotide long non-coding RNA is filed under the name Bemisia tabaci. Its description in RNAcentral is "lncRNA ENSSSA2NGG006115". Lineage: Eukaryota; Metazoa; Arthropoda; Insecta; Hemiptera; Aleyrodidae. The record is from RNAcentral.
GUCAGCACUGUGUAGGUAGUUUGUGAGAGAGCUUUGUGCCUUAGUUUUAAGAACAAAUCGACAUGAUGGUGCAGUUGUUGUUUUUGUUUGGCGUGCUUUCUUUAAGUUUCGUGCUAAUUUUCACGUCCAAAUCAGAAUAUGAUUGAAACAUUUUUGCUUAAAAAUGAUUCCACAGCGAUGACAAAAUACUCUCGAAAAGGGUGAUAAAAACGUAAAAUAUUAAUAAAUAUUGUGAUUUUACACAGAUAGAGUGUCACGAGUUUUGAGCGCGAUGUUCCGCAAAGUCUCUGAUUACUCCAACUCAGAAUCGUUACUUUGUAAGGGAUGUGGCCAUACCUCUAGAAGUAGUGUCUACGUUUCUAACAGCUGCGAGACCGAAGAAACCAUUAACGAAAGCUCACUGCACGCUGUAUGAAGGAAAUCAACUAAUUACAUGCCUGGAUGUCGGCUGGAGGAUAAGAGAUAUUAAAAUUAGAUCAUAAGAGUUUCGGAGACGCCCAAAAACGGACGAAAGGCGUUCAUGGUUGAGUAUUUCGAGUUGUGCGAGAACAAAGAUUAUCCUUGGUCGACUACAAACUUCUCCUUCGUCCGCGAUGACACGUCAAUUCACAUGAACGGCUUGGUACUUGUGACCAGGGACAUUCGAGACCCCAUUGCGUUGCAGAUCAAGAUGGAUAGAUGCAAAGAUAGGACAGACCUAAGCUCUUGUGAACACGUGACAAGUAUUAAAUGGCCAGACCUCUGCGGCGCAGUCAAGCUUGUCCCUCCAAUUAGGAUUUUUUUUGACGCUUUUGAGCCUCCCUUGGCUUGUCCAGUUAAGAAGAAUCGUUAUUUUGUGAGAGAUGUGGUCCUACCUCUAGAUAUAGUGUCUACAUUUCUAACCACUGCGAGACAGAAGAAACAAUUAUCAAAAGUUCGCUGCACAAUGUAUGAAGGAAAUCAACUAAUUUCUUGCCUGGAUGCCGGCUGGAGGAUAAGAGAUAUUAAAAUUAGAUCAUAAGAGUUUCGGUGACGCCCAGGAACGUCGGUGUCUAUAAAAAAAGCACAUUUUAUGCCUUUAAAAUUUUUUAUGUAUUGAAUUCCAAAAGUAAGUUUAAUGACUCAGCACCAUUAAGACUAAUCAAUUUUCCUUCAUUCCAAACUAGCUGAGAAAAGUUGUAUCACUUUAUGUCUAAACUAGUUUUACUAUACGGGCUUUUCAUAUAAAUAUUUAAGUAAAUAGGAUUAAAGUUUGGUAACUAAUGCUACGUUAAUAAACACUUAAAAAUUGAAAAUAAGUGGAAACUCUUGUUGGAAAAAACUAUACAUUGCAACCGUACAUGGCACUUGCAGUCAAAGAGCUUUUUUUUACCUCGAGCGUUAUGAUACCUGCGUUAUGAUACACAACAUGAAAUUUGUAAUCGAAGGUUUGCACUGUAUUCUUGGCUAUAAAAUCUUAAACUGUCCCUGGGUUUUCUUCAUUAUGCACCAUUUUCCCAGAUAAUUGAGUGCUCCUCAAAAAACUUCAUUUUUCCAGGAAAAUCUAUAGUCUUUGCAGGCUUGAAAGAAUGAUUUAUUCUAUAUUUCUUUGCCCUAUUUCAUAAAUUGUGAAGAACUCACAGUUUUAAUAAAGUGAAAAUGAUAUUGACGUGUUGAAUUUUACGUAUAUUCAUACGUAAUUCAUACGUAAAAUUCAAGGCACGAGUUUUAUUUCGAUCAGCGUACAUAAAAUCAUGGAU